CCAUUGCUCUUACAUUUUACUCUUAUAUUAAACAGAAAUAUUGUGACCUUCAGAUGGAGAAUUGUGUCAGAGCCAGGGGAGAAGGAGGAGGACAAAGAUGAAGAUGAGAAGCAGACGGAGCUGCGCAGGAGGAAGAGAGAAGCUCACCAGUGUGGGACACCAUGCUCUGAAACGGGGACAAACUCAGGAAGCGAUGCAGUGUUUCAGAGGAGCACUGGAGGCAACCGGCCAUGUUUCACCUCCAAAAACAUGCUGGUCAGGAUGGCCCACAGUUACAGCACAGAGUCGCAGUGUUUCAGGACUAAUUCUACAUCUGGACCUCAGGAAGGCUCUGAAGGACCAUGGAAAUGAUUGAUCUGGACUUUGAAACACUGUUCAGUGAUGAGGCCGGCUACUUUUCAGCAAAGUAGAAGAGCCUUGCUUCAAGGCUGCUGCAACACCUGAACAUGGAUUGCAAGGACAGCUCUUCCAGGC
RNAcentral lists this long non-coding RNA (474 nucleotides) under Neogobius melanostomus (round goby). RNAcentral describes it as "lncRNA (ENSNMLG00000001399.1)". Lineage: Eukaryota; Metazoa; Chordata; Actinopteri; Gobiiformes; Gobiidae. The record is from RNAcentral.